AGCAGCCGCGGUAAUUCCAGCUCCAAUAGCGUAUAUUAAAAGUUGUUGCAGUUAAAAAGACUCGUAGUUGAAUUUCGGGAUUGACGUGAUGGUCGUGCCUUACGGGGUAUGAACUGUUGCUGUUGAUUUCUCACCUUCUGGAGAAACUUGAUGUCCUUAAUUGGGUGUCUUGCGGAUCCAGGACCUUUACCUUGAAAAAUUAGAGUGUUUAAAGCAGGCAUUUUGCUCGAAUACAUUAGCAUGGAAUAAUAGAAUAGGACGGCAUGGUUCUAUUUUGUUGGUUUCUAGGAUCACCGUAAUGAUUAAUAGGGAUAGUUGGGGGCAUUAGUAUUCAAUUGUCAGAGGUGAAAUUCUUGGAUUUAUUGAAGACUAACUACUGCGAAAGCAUUUGCCAAGGAUGUUUUCAUUAAUCAAGAACGAAAGUUAGGGGAUCGAAGACGAUCAGAUACCGUCGUAGUCUUAACCAUAAACUAUGC
This 476-nucleotide ribosomal RNA is filed under the name uncultured Entrophospora. RNAcentral describes it as "SSU rRNA". It matches the Rfam family "Eukaryotic small subunit ribosomal RNA", at positions 569 to 1042 of the family's 1831-position model. Lineage: Eukaryota; Fungi; Glomeromycota; Glomeromycetes; Entrophosporales; Entrophosporaceae. The record is from RNAcentral.